GGUACUUGUACCUGGUGGCGAGCGGCGGACGGGUGAGUAAUGCCUAGGAAUCUGCCUGGUAGUGGGGGAUAACGCUCGGAAACGGACGCUAAUACCGCAUACGUCCUACGGGAGAAAGCAGGGGACCUUCGGGCCUUGCGCUAUCAGAUGAGCCUAGGUCGGAUUAGCUAGUUGGUGAGGUAAUGGCUCACCAAGGCGACGAUCCGUAACUGGUCUGAGAGGAUGAUCAGUCACACUGGAACUGAGACACGGUCCAGACUCCUACGGGAGGCAGCAGUGGGGAAUAUUGGACAAUGGGCGAAAGCCUGAUCCAGCCAUGCCGCGUGUGUGAAGAAGGUCUUCGGAUUGUAAAGCACUUUAAGUUGGGAGGAAGGGCAUUUACCUAAUACGUAAGUGUUUUGACGUUACCGACAGAAUAAGCACCGGCUAACUCUGUGCCAGCAGCCGCGGUAAUACRGAGGGUGCARGCGUUAAUCGGAAUUACUGGGCGUAAAGCGCGCGUAGGUGGUUUGUUAAGUUGGAUGUGAAAUCCCCGGGCUCAACCUGGGAACUGCAUUCAAAACUGACAAGCUAGAGUAUGGUAG
Molecule: ribosomal RNA, 584 nt
Filed under: Pseudomonas mandelii
Lineage: Bacteria; Pseudomonadati; Pseudomonadota; Gammaproteobacteria; Pseudomonadales; Pseudomonadaceae
Description: bacterial SSU rRNA
Source: RNAcentral